GCAAACUUGGUCAUUUAGAGGAAGUAAAAGUCGUAACAAGGUCUCCGUUGGUGAACCAGCGGAGGGAUCAUUACCGAGUUUACAACUCCCAAACCCCUGUGAACAUACCUUUUGUUGCCUCGGCGGGAGGCCCCGGGGGGUGGCUUCGGCCGCCCUCCCGGAUCCCAUGGCUGCCCGCCGGAGGACCCAAACCUCUGUUUUAGAAUUGAAUCUUCUUCUGAGUAUCUAGGCGAAAGCCGAAAAUAAAUCAAAACUUUCAACAACGGAUCUCUUGGCUCUGGCAUCGAUGAAGAACGCAGC
RNAcentral lists this unclassified non-coding RNA (300 nucleotides) under uncultured fungus. RNAcentral describes it as "partial contains small subunit ribosomal RNA, internal transcribed spacer 1, and 5.8S ribosomal RNA". The stretch from base 1 to 73 matches the Rfam family "Eukaryotic small subunit ribosomal RNA", at positions 1759 to 1831 of the family's 1831-position model. Lineage: Eukaryota; Fungi. The record is from RNAcentral.